RNAcentral lists this ribosomal RNA (429 nucleotides) under Bacteroidota bacterium. Its description in RNAcentral is "Bacteroidetes bacterium partial 16S ribosomal RNA". It matches the Rfam family "Bacterial small subunit ribosomal RNA", at positions 355 to 776 of the family's 1533-position model. The record is from RNAcentral. Lineage: Bacteria; Pseudomonadati; Bacteroidota.
UAGGGAAUCUUCCGCAAUGGACGCAAGUCUGACGGAGCAACGCCGCGUGAGUGAAGAAGGAUUUCGGUUCGUAAAACUCUGUUGUUAGAGAAGAACAGCGCAUAGAGUAACUGUUAUGCGUGUGACGGUAUCUAACCAGAAAGCCACGGCUAACUACGUGCCAGCAGCCGCGGUAAUACGUAGGUGGCAAGCGUUGUCCGGAUUUAUUGGGCGUAAAGCGAGCGCAGGCGGUCAAUUAAGUCUGAUGUGAAAGCCCCCGGCUCAACCGGGGAGGGUUAGUAGAAACUGGUUGAAUUGAGUGCAGAAGAGGAGAGUGGAAUUCCAUGUGUAGCGGUGAAAUGCGUAGAGAUAUGGAGGAACACCAGUGGCGAAGGCGACUCUCUGGUCUGUAACUGACGCUGAGGCUCGAAAGCGUGGGUAGCAAACAGG